This 24-nucleotide non-coding RNA is filed under the name Cricetulus griseus (Chinese hamster). The record is from RNAcentral. Lineage: Eukaryota; Metazoa; Chordata; Mammalia; Rodentia; Cricetidae.
UGAAGAUUAAUUCUUAAGCUGAAA